RNAcentral lists this ribosomal RNA (433 nucleotides) under uncultured bacterium. Its description in RNAcentral is "partial 16S ribosomal RNA". It matches the Rfam family "Bacterial small subunit ribosomal RNA", at positions 29 to 507 of the family's 1533-position model. The record is from RNAcentral.
AACGAACGCUGGCGGCAUGCCUAACACAUGCAAGUCGAACGAGACCUUCGGGUCUAGUGGCGCACGGGUGCGUAACGCGUGGGAACCUUCCCUUAGGUUCGGAAUAACUCCCCGCAAGGGUUGCUAAUACCGGAUACUGUCUUCGGACCAAAGAUUUAUCGCCUUUGGAUGGGCCCGCGUUGGAUUAGCUAGUUGGUAGGGUAAAAGCCUACCAAGGCGACGAUCCAUAGCUGGUCUGAGAGGAUGAUCAGACACACUGGGACUGAGACACGGCCCAGACUCCGACGGGAGGGAGCAGUGGGGAAUAUUAGACGAUGGGCGAAAGUCUGAUCCAGCAAUGCCGCGUGAGUGAUGAAGGCCUUAGGGUUGUAAAGCUCUUUUACCCGGGAUGAUAAUGACAGUACCGGGAGAAUAAGCUCCGGCUAACUCCGUG